RNAcentral lists this ribosomal RNA (745 nucleotides) under uncultured Xylaria. RNAcentral's name for it is "partial large subunit ribosomal RNA". The record is from RNAcentral. Lineage: Eukaryota; Fungi; Ascomycota; Sordariomycetes; Xylariales; Xylariaceae.
CAAUAAGCGGAGGAAAAGAAACCAACAGGGGAUUGCCUUAGUAACGGCGAGCUGAAGCGGCAACUAGCUCAAACUUUGAAAUCCGGCCCUCUGAGGGUCCGUAACUAGAUAAGUAUGUAUGAGAGAUGACUUCUCGGUGCGGGUAGCUUCCCGAGAUUCCUUCGCUACAAGACGCCCUCCAGAGGAGGAGUGACACGCUACGGUUGACAUGCCUAGCCGUCUGCUAAAUCUCCUUGCGUGCGCAAGUCGAAGUUAGGUGUUUGGUGAAAGUGGCAUGUCCUCCCUACACACUUGGGGUAAAGGGGUNCAGAGUUUAUUCCCUUUUCCCUCAAUAAGCCCUAAGGGACUUAUUUAGUGGGCCCAGGACGNAACCAGAAAUACGCCGUCCACCAAAGUUAAGAAGAUGCGUCGAAGGAGAAAUGAAAUAAGCCACCUGUANGUAAAGAGAAGGGGAUUUAGAAUUAAGACAACGUUGNAUAAGUAUGAUUUGGAUCAAGGGGGAAAGGGGAAUUUUGGGUAGUAGCGCGAGGGAACCUUUGUCUUUACUUNGCGGGCCGGGCAAUGCUACUUCGCAGUGGGUGGUUUACCUCCCUGCUCGAGCUUGCCACCCUUGCGCCCCCCAGAUAUAAAAGGCCAGGCAGUCGUGUUAUUCGGGNCGUGGGUAUAAAGACGCACGUACCGAAAUGCUGCGGCUGCUCGUUACCGAGGGGUAAGCUCGCUUUAUUUAAGCCACCUUAUUUUUGGU